RNAcentral lists this ribosomal RNA (166 nucleotides) under uncultured bacterium. RNAcentral describes it as "partial 16S rRNA". It matches the Rfam family "Bacterial small subunit ribosomal RNA", at positions 355 to 511 of the family's 1533-position model. The record is from RNAcentral.
UAGGGAAUCUUCCACAAUGGGCGAAAGCCUGAUGGAGCAACGCCGCGUGUGUGAUGAAGGGGUUUCGGCUACGUAAAACACUGUUGUAAGAGAAGAAUGACAUUGAGAGUAACUGUUCAAUGUGUGACGGUAUCUUACCAGAAAGGAACGGCUAAAUACGUGCCAG